Molecule: ribosomal RNA, 250 nt
Filed under: uncultured prokaryote
Description: partial 16S ribosomal RNA
Rfam family: Bacterial small subunit ribosomal RNA
Source: RNAcentral
UACGUAGGGAGCAAGCGUUGUCCGGAUUUACUGGGUGUAAAGGGUGCGUAGGUGGUUUUGUGGGUCAGGUGUGAGAUUUGCAGGCUUAACUUGUAAACUGCACUUGAAACUAUAAAACUUGAGUGAAGUAGGGGCAGAUGGAAUUCCCGGUGUAGCGGUGAAAUGCGUAGAGAUCGGGAGGAACACCAGUGGCGAAGGCGAUCUGCUGGCCUUUUACUGACACUGAGGCACGAAAGCGUGGGUAGCAAAC